This 2866-nucleotide long non-coding RNA is filed under the name Capsicum annuum. Its description in RNAcentral is "long non-coding RNA (CANN_LNC010910)". Lineage: Eukaryota; Viridiplantae; Streptophyta; Magnoliopsida; Solanales; Solanaceae. The record is from RNAcentral.
CUCGAAUUCUUAUAUUGUUCCCGGCAGAGUCGUCAUAGAUGUCACACCCCUCUCUGUAGUUCAUGAAGACCAUAAGACUAUGCUGCUGGAUAAGAAAAAAUUCUUUCUUUUAAAAAUAAAUUAUUUCUUUGAAAAAUGAUUCACUAAAUUUGAGGAUGAUUUAACCUCUUGCAUUUUAAAGUUGCCUAAAGUCGAUCAACAAACAAAUAACCUUCCAAAUAAAUGUCAAAGAGUCGUAGGAUGCACAUAUUGAUCUUUAUAAAGUAGGUCACCUGUCCUAGACAGACCCGACUCCUAUGUCGAGUCCCGCUAAGUCAAAUGCAUAUGAUGCAAAUAAAGCGAAACCUAAUAGGGAUAACCAGAUUCUGAGUUUUCAGUUCUUCUAAGUUUAAGCCUAAUAGGAAUAGGUGUCUAGAUUGGCUUACCCGAGCGGACACUCGAGUCGAGGAGGGACAAAUUGUUCGGUAGAAGGGCUACACCGAUUUCGUUGUCAAUCCGAACCCCACCUAACACGACUAUAAUCCUUCACCAGGUGCCUUGACACUUCGGCUAUCUCAAAAAGAAAGUAGGAUGCAUGCGCUGCAUUCCUUCUAUCCUAUUUCAGAGACUUGGAGGGGGUGCGCAAGAGAAAAUAGAUUAUAAUACAGUUCAACAAUAUCAAAGUAGUAAAUGAGCGACAAGUAGCACAUAAGGCCAACAAACACAAUAUCAAAAUAAUUAAAGCAAGUAAAGUCAAUAUCAAAAGCUUGAAUUCUUAUAUUGUUCCCGGCAGAGUCGUCAUAGAUGUCACACCCCUUUUUCUCUUGAGAGAGUCAAGUCGAAGAAUUUUUCCAAUUUAAGUGACGAUUUUGAAUAGGGAUUAGUUUAUUUACAGAGUCGCCACUUGGAAUUGAGUUAUGGUGUUCUAAGUCACCUUUUUGAAUCCCCAAUCAAAAGGAAUUGACUCUUUAUUAUGGUCUGCGAAAACAGAAGGUCAGGUAAGAAAUUCUGUUGAUCGAGGGGAAGGUGUGAGGUACCCCUCGAGUCCCGUGGUUCUAGCACGGUCGCUUUUAUUGACUUAUCUUGACUUAAAGUAUUUUGAUGAAUUAUUUUAAAACCUAAAUUUACUCAUUUUUAAUAUACUAAGACUAUUUAAAAACUCUUGUAUUAAAUCGAUAAAAAGUUAAUUUUAGGAAAGUAUUAAAUAAAUCGGUGAAAGUUAAUUCUAGAAAAAUAUUUACCGAGGUGCAUUGUUGCAUCCUUGAAUUUUAAAUGUCUCAGAAAGAUGCAUAUGCCACAUUCUUAAUUGAGACGAAUAUUUUAAAUGUGCCUAAAAUUUAUCUAGCGUUAAAAUGCAUUUGUUUCGUCUCUUGUAAACUCGAGACAAUUUUAUCUUAUUCAAUUUUUUUUUUCUCUUUAUUUUGCAACGACUUUUAGAUUAUUCCGCAACUCACCUCGCUCCCUCACAAAUGAGUUUUUCCUCUCUUUUCUUUUAUCAAUAGCAACGAAUCUUUCUCACAUUAAUUUUUCGAUUAGGAGUUAAGCACAUCCAAAUUCAUAAGUUAUUAUUUAUUUAUUUUUAGAACGAAAUGAUUAUUGCAACAACAACUUCAAAGUAUGCACUAGCUUUACAAGUAUUUUUAAAUAGCAUGUAAAAUUUAUCAAAUAAAACAUAUAGGAAGAAUUAUUUACACUAGUACAUUCUUUAUUACUAAAACAAAGCCAUGCAUCUAAUAAAUUAAUAAAAAUGAAAUACAUUCCUUUAAUCCCACCAAAGUUAACCCACCAGCUAACAAAUCUUAUAUUAACAAUAACUAAAUUCCCACUACAAUUCCUUUGCUUGUUUUAGCACAACAUAUAAUAAAUAGUAGCACUUCUAUUCCACGAUAGGUAAAUAAAAUUUAGUCCAUAGAGGUGAAAAUAUUGUUUGAGUAGCCACAUAAUGCAUGGGCAAGAGAAAUUAAACAUCAAUCAAUUUUCAAAAGAAUGAGUAAUUCUCAAUUAGAAAAAGAAAAAUCACUAAAAGUGAAUUAAGUCCAAACUCAACCCUAGUCAUAAUUCAUUUAUUACCUCCCAUUAUUUAUUUUUUAUACUCCAAUUAUUGGUUAAACUUAGCCACCAACUACAGCCUACGUGUAAAACAAGCAUGUUGCAGUACAUGACUAGUUUGCAAUUUUAAUUGCAAUUCACCCAAACAACAUGUGUAAUUGUCCCCUCACUUCUACAUCAAUUUUUCAUGUAUGUAAUCCACUAUUUGAGCCUUAAUCCAUUGUUUUGUCAUUAAACAAUUAGGAUGCUAGGGAUUAUUUUAAACCUAUAUUUUUAAAAAAUCUGCAUAACUAAAUCCAUGCUAACCUAUGAACAACUCAACUAUUUAAUAUGCUAAUUCCAAGUAACGUUAUAACACACAUAAAACAGGACACAUAACAAAAUAAGUAAACUAUUAAAUCAUAAUACAAAACUUCCUUUACAUAUGCUGAUUCACAACUCAAAGUAACAUAAUCACAUAAACUACUUUAUUCAUGCUUUGGAUUCACAACAAUACUUAUAAAAGUAAAUAGAAAGGAACUGAAUAAGAACAAACCAAGGCGUAAAAGCAAGAAUGUCGUCACCGGUAACUCGAACGAAACUCCGAAUUCUGAACCUGAUUUUUUUUUCUCUUUCUUUUUCUUUCUCUCUGUUUCUGCUUUCCUUCUUCUUAUUUUUCACUCUGUUUUUUCCUUCUUUUCCUGUUUUUUCUCUGUCAUUUUCCGUCUAUGGUUUUCCCUCAAUUUUAGUCUGUUUUUCUGAUAAGGAUCGUACGUAUUUUGGGGAAGUCAGGAAUUUAUACGCUGAUGGGGAAAGAGGUUGAGGGAAGUUGGGAUAUAGAGAGGAUAGGGUAGUUGAG